Molecule: ribosomal RNA, 497 nt
Filed under: uncultured bacterium
Lineage: Bacteria
Description: partial 16S ribosomal RNA
Rfam family: Bacterial small subunit ribosomal RNA
Source: RNAcentral
GAUGAACGCUGGCGGCGUGCCUAAUACAUGCAAGUCGAGCGAACGGACGAGAAGCUUGCUUUUCUGAUGUUAGCGGCGGACGGGUGAGUAACACGUGGAUAACCUACCUAUAAGACUGGGAUAACUUCGGGAAACCGGAGCUAAUACCGGAUAAUAUUUUGAACCGCAUGGUUCAAAAGUGAAAGACGGUCUUGCUGUCACUUAUAGAUGGAUCCGCGCUGCAUUAGCUAGUUGGUAAGGUAACGGCUUACCAAGGCAACGAUGCAUAGCCGACCUGAGAGGGUGAUCGGCCACACUGGAACUGAGCAACGGUCCCGACUCCUACGGGAGGCAGCAGUAGGGAAUCUUCCGCAAUGGGCGAAAGCCUGACGGAGCCACGCCGCGUGAGUGAUGAAGGUCUUCGGAUCGUAAAACUCUGUUAUUAGGGAAGAACAUAUGUGUAAGUAACUGUGCACAUCUUGACGGUACCUAAUCAGAAAGCCACGGCUAACUACGUG